Long non-coding RNA from Pseudophryne corroboree (corroboree frog), 1157 nucleotides. RefSeq lists it as uncharacterized. The record is from RefSeq and is a predicted model, not a curated record. Lineage: Eukaryota; Metazoa; Chordata; Amphibia; Anura; Myobatrachidae. The transcript has 4 exons.
AAUUUUGGUUUUUCCUCAAACAGGAGACCGUGGAUAUCCUUGCACCCCCUGGCUCAUGACUCCUUACCGUAAUCCCAGGCCAGGACCACAGACGGCAUUUAACUCCGCGCUUACUGCCACUAGGCAGCUGGUGGAGCGCACAAUUGGGGUCCUUAAAGGGCGGUUUCGUGUGCUCCACCGCACUGGUGGCGAUAUCAUGUAUUCGCCGGAGAUGGCAAGUAAACUAGUGGUUCUGUGCGCAAUACUACACAAUAUCGCGGUAAGGAGUAGCGUAGAGCUUCCUCAGACAGAGGAAUUGCCUGAUGAGGAGCCAGGGGUUGUUCGACACUUCGGUGGGGGGAGUGUUACACGGAGGGGGAGCCAAGUCAGGGCAAGCAUUGUUGCUGAAUAUUUCAGCUGAAUGAUCACACAAACUGUGGACGAGAACAACGGCAGACCUCUCAGCCCCCUUCCCCUUCCCAGUCCCCCUCCCCUUCUCACUCCCCCUCCCCUUCUCACUCCCCCUCCCCUUCUCACUUCCCCUUCUCACUCCCCCUCCCCUUCGCAGUCCUCCUCAGCUUCCCAGUCCCCCUCAGCUACCCAGUCCCCCUCAGCUUCCCAGUCCCCCUCAGCUUCCCAGUCCCCCUCAGCUUCCCAGGCCCACUCCACUUUCCACUCCCCUUCUCACACCACCUCUCUAUCUCUUUCUGUGACCCCUUCUCCUCCUUCCCAUACCCCUUCUCCUUCAACUUCAAACUCACCUUCUCAGCCCCCCUCACCCUCUAUUGGCUUAACUUUCUCUCCGCCCCCCUCGCCCUCUCAAUCAGACCCACCCUCUGAAAUUACAUCCCCAAUCCAGCCUCCUUCCCCCAUCCAGCCUCCUUCCCCCAUCCCUCCUCCUUCCCCCAUCCCUCCUCCUUCCCCAAUCCCUCCUCCUUCCCCAAUCCCUCCUCCUUCCCCCAUCCAGCCGCCUUCCCCACCCAGUGAGUGGGCAGAAGAAGCCCCUGCUGAAUUAACUGUCAACCAUCAUGUUGCAGAGGAAAAUGUUGCCGUUGGAGAUCCCACAUCUUUUGCGGACAUUAUUGGCAACAUGAGGAUACAUCUCCAGGCCUUGCUGGGUCUUGUUGACCAAAUGCAAACGUUGUUUUAAUUUUUGUUUAAAAAAAAAAAAUAUGUUU